ACGGAGGGUGCAAGCGUUAAUCGGAAUUACUGGGCGUAAAGCGUACGCAGGCGGUUUGCCAAGUCGGGUGUGAAAUCCCCGGGCUCAACCUGGGAACUGCACUCGAGACUGGCAGGCUAGAGUCUGGCAGAGGGGGGUAGAAUUCCAGGUGUAGCAGUGAAAUGCGUAGAGAUGUGGAGGAACACCGAUGGCGAAGGCAGCCCCCUGGGCAAAGACUGACGCUCAGGUGCGAAAGCGUGGGGAGCAAACAG
RNAcentral lists this ribosomal RNA (251 nucleotides) under uncultured prokaryote. RNAcentral's name for it is "partial 16S ribosomal RNA". It matches the Rfam family "Bacterial small subunit ribosomal RNA", at positions 525 to 775 of the family's 1533-position model. The record is from RNAcentral.